CUAAGUGGGAUUGUCACAUGAUUCUUAGUCAUAACUUUCCACAAGAUUCGGGGAUGAUCUCUGGGCAAGACGCCAUUGACUAGUUUGUCAGCCGCUUCUGGUACAUAGCUUGUCAUCGAGGCAACAAAUAAGAUGUAUAUCUUGUGAACAUGUCUUCACGAUGAAAUUUUUGUCAAUUAAAGGAUAUGAAUGAAAUAGAAAGGAAAGUGUUACAAAGGAACCAUUGUAAUAUUGUGGAGGUCAUUGAACCCUUAGAACUAAGGCCGUUUCUGUAUUCAAAAGGUGUUCUCCCGAAUCCGACAUUCCUGGGUGAUGAUCGGGUAAGAACAAGAAGGGCAGAAAAGUUUAUCGAGUAUAUAGUUGAAAACUGUUCAUUUUCCCUGUUUCUCGAUUCGUUAUCAAAGGACAGUGCGUAUGAUUUCCUUGCACAGAAACUGCAGCUAGAGUUAGAUGACAUAUCAAAAGAUGAUACUGAAAGUCGGUAUGUGCCUUAUGAAAUAAAGGAGUCAUUAUUCACACCAGAGCGUGCUAAAGCAAUAUGGUUUCGACACGAACUCAAACGCUAUUCCAUGACAGGGAAUAAUGAAGCAUUCCUUCAAAGAAGUAAAACUAUUACCGAUAGGUGGAAUGCCAUACCCAAAGAAAAGAUUUUUCUCGAAAAUAAUCAAGAAUUGGCGGAUAUGUAUUUCAUGGUUCUAGACGCAACCAUGGAAAGAAGACGAAUUGUGUACGACACGACUCUUUAUAACGACGAUGAAUUGUUUGGUAAGAUGCAAGAGAUGUCUUUAUACACUUCCUCUGCUACACUACCUACAGCUAUGCGUCUAGCACGUUACGGUUCAGCUCUUCUAAUGGCAGGAAGGCCGGUGGAGGAAGCACUCAGUUACGUGGAAGAAGCAAAACAGCGACUUCAAACACUCCCAGCAUGUAGAGAGUCUGGAGUAAUUCUGUAUAUUGAAUACAACAUGCUGAUUUCAGAAAGAUACGAAAAAGAUCCUACCGUUAAAAUGAAGAAUCUACUGUUAAAAAUCGGAAGUGAGUCAAUUGACCAUUUUUGUCGAGAACAGGAAACGGUUGGAAAAGAUUUCCGUAGAAUGGUGUUGAUAAAACAAGCACUGUUACUUCUAGGCAUAGGACUUUUCCUAAACGACGUAGAUAAUGUUUUUGUCACGGAUGAAGACAAAAAACAAGCUGAAACAAUUUUGCAAGAAAUCCGAAAAGAGGAGAAUUGGAAAAGAAUGGAACAUCGCUGGCAUGUUGCAUACUAUGUAGCAAAUAGCAAACUACUCCGUCUCGAAGGACAAAGUGAAAAAGCAUUGGAUGAGAUGCAAAAAGCUUCGAAAUAUGCAAUAGAUGGAACGUUUAAAAAGGAGCUUGGUAAUAUAAAAAAAUCUGUGGUUUUCCAAAGUGGAAAACGAGAAUGGAACUUCAAGAAUGCGCUACUUCUUUUUUCGUUCAUCAUUCUAUUAAUAGCAGUGGUGUAUCAGAUAGUGUUUCAUUAAUCAUGAGAAGACCUACUAUGUUCAAUGCUGUGGUGUAGAAGUUAAUUAGGACCAUUCAGCUAGAAGGUGCAAGCGCCACGGGCUACAGAUGGGAAUCCUUGUGUGAACACAUGAGGGGGAGGAGAACAGCGAUACAGAUUCAGGGGACUCCUCCGAUGACUACCAGAGGCAUCGUCAAAGGAGUAGCAACAUAAGAUGCCCACUUACUCGGGUAAAGAGCGCUGGGAACAAUUCGCUCUUAUUUUCACCAGGAUAAUAAAGGACAAUAAAUGGUCGGACCGUAAGACCAAACAACGGUUUUUCGAUUGUCUGGUGGGGGAUGCGUUGGAGUACGCCGAUAAGCUUCCACGAACUCUUGGGUUCACAAAACUCAAGAAAAAGAUGAAGGAACGGUUUAGCGACAAGGGCGUC
This 1913-nucleotide unclassified non-coding RNA is filed under the name Mizuhopecten yessoensis (Yesso scallop). RNAcentral describes it as "uncharacterized LOC110442321, transcript variant X1". The record is from RNAcentral. Lineage: Eukaryota; Metazoa; Mollusca; Bivalvia; Pectinida; Pectinidae.